This 253-nucleotide ribosomal RNA is filed under the name uncultured bacterium. RNAcentral describes it as "partial 16S ribosomal RNA". It matches the Rfam family "Bacterial small subunit ribosomal RNA", at positions 524 to 776 of the family's 1533-position model. The record is from RNAcentral.
UACGGAGGGUGCAAGCGUUAAUCGGAUUUAUUGGGCGUAAAGAGCACGUAGGCGGAAAUGUAAGUCAGACGUGAAAUCCCGGGGCUCAACCCCGGACCCGCAUCUGAAACUACACUUCUAGAGGAUGGACGGAGAAAAGGGAAUUCCACGUGUAGCGGUGAAAUGCGUAGAUAUGUGGAAGAACACCAGUGGCGAAGGCGCUUUUCUAGUUUAUUCCUGACGCUGAGGUGCGAAAGCGAGGGUAGCAAACAGG